RNAcentral lists this ribosomal RNA (301 nucleotides) under uncultured bacterium. RNAcentral's name for it is "partial 16S ribosomal RNA". It matches the Rfam family "Bacterial small subunit ribosomal RNA", at positions 509 to 808 of the family's 1533-position model. The record is from RNAcentral.
CAGUCGCCGCGGUAAUACGUAGGUCCCGAGCGUUGUCCGGAUUUAUUGGGCGUAAAGCGAGCGCAGGCGGUUAGAUAAGUCUGAAGUUAAAGGCUGUGGCUUAACCAUAGUACGCUUUGGAAACUGUUUAACUUGAGUGCAAGAGGGGAGAGUGGAAUUCCAUGUGUAGCGGUGAAAUGCGUAGAUGUAUGGAGGAACACCGGUGGCGAAAGCGGCUCUCUGGCUUGUAACUGACGCUGAGGCUCGAAAGCGUGGGGAGCAAACAGGAUUAGAUACCCGAGUAGUCCCUGUCUCUUAUACA